Microtus oregoni (creeping vole) is the source of this 360-nucleotide long non-coding RNA. RefSeq lists it as uncharacterized. Lineage: Eukaryota; Metazoa; Chordata; Mammalia; Rodentia; Cricetidae. The transcript has 3 exons. The record is from RefSeq and is a predicted model, not a curated record.
CUUGUCCGCACCCGUGGCUUGGCUCAUCUACAGACCUCAUGCAUCCUCUUCCAAGAGCCCCCGAACCUCAAGGCUCCCGAGGCAGGUGGACACAUAGUUCCGCCUCCCGAGUCUGGGAUGACAGGCCUGCACCUCCACCCAAAUUUCUGUGAUGCUGGGAAUGGAACCCAGGGCUCUGCUGGUCCAGCCAUCUUGCUAGCCUUUCUGUGGUUGUCUUGGCUCUGAGGUUUUUGUGGCACAGGCUCUCACUACUUAGCACUGGUGGACCUGGAAGUAUCUCACUUGCCUCGGCUCCCAGAGUGAUGGGGUCACAAACUUGCUUACCAGACCUGGCUACAGAUCCUUUUAGAGAAAUCCGAC